Cyprinus carpio carpio is the source of this 1678-nucleotide long non-coding RNA. NCBI's taxonomy places the organism in Eukaryota, Metazoa, Chordata, Actinopteri, Cypriniformes, Cyprinidae. The record is from Ensembl.
CUGAAAUGUUUCUGGUGACUGAUUCAUGCUUGUUAAGUUGUUUAUGUACUUUUAAUUCACACAGUUCUUGCUGUGUUCGUUCUUGAUUUUAAAGCAACACACUGAGUUUGGCACAAUCCAGAAUGGAUUUCACCAUUACCACAGAAAAACGUUAGCCUCUGCCUGGAGCUCCGACACAGUCAUAAUUAAACAGCUAUAAAUUACACACUAAGAGACUGAGGACAGACGAGCCCCCCCAAGCUGACACAUUUUUUUACCAGCUAAUAGUUUAAUGGGAGUUUCAGAUGAACAUUCUAUCCUUAAAGUAGCUGAAAUGCUUUAUCAUCAUUUGGAUUCAAAUCUGUGUGCCAUCAGGACAGGAUCUGGAUCACUGUCGGGCCACGCGUUUCCACCUGUUCUGUAACAGCUGAAGAAUAUAUCCAGUAAUAGGUGCAAAAUUUUCAUUCGAUUUUCACUAAAGCAGCAUAAUCACCUUUUAGAGUGUUUUUUUUUUUUUGUGUCAUAAUCACACCUUUGACACCUUCAAGUUUAGGCGGCUCACUAGGUCCUGGAAGCAAGUGCAUGAAAUGACACCUUUGAUACGUGAUUUGCACAAGUAUGACAUAUUUCUGAAUCAACAACCUUUUAUGUUCUUACACAGGGCUUUCAUAAGUUUCAUAAGGGAUGCGUCAUUGUAGUGACUUUUAUCUUGCAGCAGCAAAGCAUUUCUCUGCUGCCGUUUUCAACCCAGUCUGGAGGAUUCCAUCAAGCUAAGAUUAUUUUUGGAUAUUAUCAUCUUGCAAAAGAUGUAAGUAGCUUCAGCUGCACUAUGCAGUGUUUCUGAACCCACCUCUACCAGCCUUUCACACUCUUAUCAGUGCUCCUUUUUAUUUGUGCCAUUUUACCUUAAUUUAGAUAGGACAGCAGUUACACUGGACUGCAGUAAAGUUUGUUAGAUUUUUUUUAUGUCUAAAUAGUCAAGUCACCUUCUCUAUUUCUAUAGCGCUUUAUACAAUACUGAUUGUGUCAAAGCAGCUUUACAGUGUUAAACAGGAAAAACAUUUACAUUUACAUUUAGUAAUUUUUAGUGCCGUGUUUGAUGAUGUCAGUGUUCUUUCUUGUCUCAUGACUGAAAGCAAAUGGACAAGUUUGCAUAUGUAGUGUGAUGAGAGAUUUACAGUGAAUUAUGGUUUCAGUUAGUUCUGUUCCUCACACAAUUCCUAUGAAUUUAGAAGACUUAGUAAGGAGUUGUCUAGAGAUAUGAUGCAACUUUUGAGGAAAAGUCACAGGUUUGGGACAACAUGAUAUAUGUACAUUUUUGAGUGAGCUAUUUAACAGAAUCAUGUAAAAUGAGUGAUGAGUAAGGAUUUGUUUUCUAAAGCUAACAAAACAUCAGUGAUUUCGUGAGCCUCGUCUGUUAAUAGUAUAUAAAAGUCGAUCCACAAGCUUCCAUCAAUCAAUAAAUCUUUUUUUUUUUACAUUUUUAAAAAAAAUCAUUACAGCAUUCAUCCAUAAGGAACUCAGUGGUUGGAGUUCAGAGAGGACAUGUCCCUUUAAUGUCUGGUUCUGGAAUGUUCUGCAGCCCCAGAUCUGCUCGUUUGGAUGGUCUGCAUGCUGAGGUCACCGUAGCCACCAGAUCCAGUCUGUAUCCAAGUCAGAGAGUCUAACCUCUACAGCCCUGAAAGACAGUGGAGACCAG